UACGGAGGGUGCAAGCGUUAUCCGGAUUCACUGGGUUUAAAGUGUGCGUAGGUGGGCUGGUAAGUCAGUGGUGAAAUCUCCGGGCUUAACCCGGAAACUGCCAUUGAUACUACUGGUCUUGAAUGUCGUGGAGGUGAGCGGAAUAUGUCAUGUAGCGGUGAAAUGCUUAGAUAUGACAUAGAACACCAAUUGCGAAGGCAGCUCACUACACGAAUAUUGACACUGAGGCACGAAAGCGUGGGGAUCAAACAGG
RNAcentral lists this ribosomal RNA (253 nucleotides) under uncultured bacterium. RNAcentral describes it as "partial 16S ribosomal RNA". It matches the Rfam family "Bacterial small subunit ribosomal RNA", at positions 524 to 776 of the family's 1533-position model. The record is from RNAcentral.